GAUGAAGAACGUAGCGAAAUGCGAUAAGUAAUGUGAAUUGCAGAAUUCAGUGAAUCAUCGAAUCUUUGAACGCACAUUGCGCCCGCCAGUAUUCUGGCGGGCAUGCCUGUUCGAGCGUCAUUUCAACCCUCAAGCCCUGCUUGGUGUUGGGGAUCGGCGUUGCCUCCUCCGUCGUUCGCGGCGGGGUGAGGUCGCCGCCCCCGAAAUGAAUUGGCGGUCUCGUCGCAGCUUUCCUUUGCGUAGUAACAUACCACCUCGCAACCAGGAGCGCGGCGCGGCCACUGCCGUAAAACGCCCAACUUUUUCAAGAGUUGACCUCGAAUCAGGUAGGAAUACCCGCUGAACUUAAGCAUAUCAAUAGCGGAGGA
This 368-nucleotide unclassified non-coding RNA is filed under the name soil metagenome. RNAcentral describes it as "partial contains 5.8S ribosomal RNA, internal transcribed spacer 2, and large subunit ribosomal RNA". The stretch from base 1 to 120 matches the Rfam family "5.8S ribosomal RNA", at positions 35 to 154 of the family's 154-position model. The record is from RNAcentral.